GAAUUUUGGACAAUGGGCGCAAGCCUGAUCCAGCCAUGCCGCGUGCGGGAAGAAGGCCUUCGGGUUGUAAACCGCUUUUGUCAGGGAAGAAACGCUCUGGGCUAAUACCCCGGGGUAAUGACGGUACCUGAAGAAUAAGCACCGGCUAACUACGUGCCAGCAGCCGCGGUAAUACGUAGGGUGCAAGCGUUAAUCGGAAUUACUGGGCGUAAAGCGUGCGCAGGCGGUGAUGCAAGACAGAUGUGAAAUCCCCGGGCUCAACCUGGGGACUGCAUUUGUGACUGCAUCGCUGGAGUGCGGCAGAGGGGGAUGGAAUUCCGCGUGUAGCAGUGAAAUGCGUAGAUAUGCGGAGGAACACCGAUGGCGAAGGCAGUCCCCUGGGCCUGCACUGACGCUCAUGCACGAAAGCGUGGGGAGCAAACAGG
This 425-nucleotide ribosomal RNA is filed under the name uncultured bacterium. Its description in RNAcentral is "bacterial SSU rRNA". It matches the Rfam family "Bacterial small subunit ribosomal RNA", at positions 359 to 776 of the family's 1533-position model. The record is from RNAcentral.